AGCUCUCCAACAAAAGAAAAUCCAAUGGGUUUCUUUCCUCUGUCUUUUUAUGAAUGAAAAAAGCCUGAGGGUUGGGUUAUUUGUAUUUUAAUAUGAAUGGUUUAGGAAUGCUGUUCUUUUCUACCAACAGGCUGGGGGAUCUGGCAGCACUGGAGCAAAACAGAGCUGAGUCCAGGCACCAAACUACACUAAACUUUGCUUCACAGUUUGUAGGAGCACUGACCAGGAAAAGGACAAGAGGAGGGAGUCAGCAUUUCUUACAUUUUCUAGGAGAGCAGAUACUGUACUUCAACUGUCUCACAAAUCUGAGGGCCUUUUUCCUACCAGUGCUCUAGCACGGACAUGAGCAGCUUGCCUCUGCAGAGACCUGCUGUCCUGAAGCAACCUAAGCAAGUCAGACCUGACAACAGGGUCUAAAGACAAAGCAGGGUUAAUGGAAAAGCAGAGGUGAUAAGUGCUGCUGUACUUCCUGAAGAGUAGGAGACUGGAACAUGAGACAUGUCUAUGAAAGAUUCUUCCUAUAGGAGUUGGUAUACACAGAAGAAAAUAGCAUUUCCCAGCUUAAGUGUGUAGAUUAGAAGUAUUUUUGGCUGUAGUUCAAACACAGUGACAAGGUUUAGUACAGAAGAUAUUACUUCCUAAUACUUGUCAGUGUAAAAAAGACUUUGGGAGACAGGAGAAGAAAGAAGAUGGGAUAUUAUGUCAUUUAAGUCCCUAAGGACCUCACAACUGCUGUUUCUACAUUUAUGUUCUGCUCUUUCUGUAUUUCUGCAAUGUCUCUGAAAUGGGGAAUUGCACCUACCCCCAUUUAACUAAUCACAAAAUCAUGACUGCAGAGACCAAUACCUAGAUUCUCAAAGUCACACAGAAGUAUAUAUUCCGCUGAUAAAAAUAAGAUGGAAAUGUGAAAAAAGACUCAAUCUUCACUGAAAUUAAUUAUUUCAGACAUAAUUAAAAUCCACACGAGUGGUGAUAUCACACAGCCUUUCAUUACGGACUCCGUGCUUUACCAAGUGAGCCACUACCAAGUUAUAACUGCAUUUUAGCAGGGAUCUGAAACUGUAGACAUGUUAAAAGUGAUCAGAAUAAAACAUUCUGAGCUGUCCAGUGAGCAUUAAAAUAAUGAGCUGCUGCUGCUUAUCACCUGUUGGAUCCCAAAUUCAUAUAUCUGCAGAAAGGAAUUUGAGUGGUCUCAGCAAAAGGGCAUGGGCUACAAGAGCUGGGGCAAAAACCUCAGUUUAAGAAGCAAAUGGGACAUCACCAGUGUGGAGUGCCCUGCCUAAGCCAGAAAGACCAUACCCUGAUGUUAUCAAGCAUCUGCAGAAGACCUAUUGUGUUUUAUUUCUCCUUUUGUGUUACCUGUUCCCUCCAUGUAAUUCCCCUAAGAUAAAGUGGGUUUUCCCCUAUAGUGUAAGUGUUAAGACCCCAAAAUUUGUAAACUUGGGUUUUCCCCUUUACCUCAUCUCUGUAAAACCCCCAAUUUGUAAUAGGCCAACCCCCCAAUGAAUAUGUUGAAUACGUAGACCUAAACCUUUUAAAUAUCAACUUGUAAGUCCAAUAAAGCAUUCCAGUUUCUCACCUCCA
Pipra filicauda (Wire-tailed manakin) is the source of this 1584-nucleotide long non-coding RNA. RefSeq lists it as uncharacterized. NCBI's taxonomy places the organism in Eukaryota, Metazoa, Chordata, Aves, Passeriformes, Pipridae. The record is from RefSeq and is a predicted model, not a curated record. The transcript has 2 exons.